AUUGAACGCUGGCGGCAGGCCUAACACAUGCAAGUCGAACGAGUGGCGGACGGGUGAGUAAUGUCUGGGAAACUGCCUGAUGGAGGGGGAUAACUACUGGAAACGGUAGCUAAUACCGCAUACCAUCGGAUGUGCCCAGAUGGGAUUAGCUAGUAGGUGGGGUAAAGGCUCACCUAGGCGACGAUCCCUAGCUGGUCUGAGAGGAUGACCGGCCACACUGGAACUGGGACACGGUCCAGACUCCUACGGGGGGAGACAGUGGGGAAUAUUGCACAAUGGGGGCAAGCCGAAUGCAGCCAUGCCGCGGGGAUGAAUAAGGCCUUCGGGUUGUAAAGUACUUUCAGCGGGGAGGCGUUACCCGCAGAAGAAGCACCGGCUAACUCCGUGCCAGCAGCCGCGGUAAUUC
Molecule: ribosomal RNA, 406 nt
Filed under: uncultured bacterium
Lineage: Bacteria
Description: partial 16S ribosomal RNA
Rfam family: Bacterial small subunit ribosomal RNA
Source: RNAcentral